Molecule: ribosomal RNA, 446 nt
Filed under: uncultured bacterium
Lineage: Bacteria
Description: bacterial SSU rRNA
Rfam family: Bacterial small subunit ribosomal RNA
Source: RNAcentral
GCCAGACUCCUACGGGAGGCAGCAGCGGGGAAUAUCGCACAAUGGGGGGAACCCUGAUGCAGCGACGCCGCGUGGGUGAAGGAGUACUUCGGUACGUAAAGCCCUAUCAGCAGGAAAGAAAAUGACGGUACCUGACUAAGAAGCCCCGGCUAACUACGUGCCAGCAGCCGCGGUAAUACGUAGGGGGCGAGCGUUAUCCGGAAUUACUGGGUGUAAAGGGAGCGUAGACGGCGAGGUAAGCCUGAAGUGGAAGCCCGCGGCCCAACCGCGGAACUGCUUUGGGAACUGUUUUGCUGGAGUAUGGGAGGGGUAAGCGGAAUUCCUGGUGUAGCGGUGAAAUGCGUAGAUAUCAGGAGGAACACCGGUGGCGAAGGCGGCUUACUGGACCAUAACUGACGUUGAGGCUCGAAAGCGUGGGGAGCAAACAGGAUUAGAUACCCUAGUAG